ACUCAAAUGAAUAGACGGGGGCCCGCACAAGCGGUGGAGUAUGUGGUUUAAUUCGAAGCAACGCGCAGAACCUUACCUGGCCUUGACAUCCCUUGACAGCUACAGAGAUGUAGUUUCCCCUUCGGGGGCAGGGAGACAGGUGCUGCAUGGCUGUCGUCAGCUCGUGUCGUAAGAUGUUUGGUUAAGUCCAGCAACGAGCGCAACCCUUAUCUUUAGUUGCUACCAUUAAGUUGAGCACUCUAGAGAGACUGCCGGUGUUAAACCGGAGGAAGGCGGGGAUGACGUCAAGUCCUCAUGGCCCUUACGGCCAGGGCUACACACGUACUACAAUGGCGCAGACAAACCGACGCAAAACUGUAAAGUGGAGCCAAUCGGAAAAACAGCGUCUCAGUCCGGAUUGAAGUCUGCAACUCGACUUCAUGAAGCUGGAAUCGCUAGUAAUCGCAGAUCAGCACGCUGCGGUGAAUACGUUCCCGGGCCUUGUACACACCGCCCGU
RNAcentral lists this ribosomal RNA (497 nucleotides) under uncultured bacterium. Its description in RNAcentral is "partial 16S ribosomal RNA". It matches the Rfam family "Bacterial small subunit ribosomal RNA", at positions 899 to 1397 of the family's 1533-position model. The record is from RNAcentral.